Molecule: ribosomal RNA, 425 nt
Filed under: uncultured bacterium
Lineage: Bacteria
Description: partial 16S ribosomal RNA
Rfam family: Bacterial small subunit ribosomal RNA
Source: RNAcentral
GUGGGGAAUCUUGCGCAAUGGGCGAAAGCCUGACGCAGCCAUGCCGCGUGAAUGAUGAAGGUCUUAGGAUUGUAAAAUUCUUUCACCGGGGACGAUAAUGACGGUACCCGGAGAAGAAGCCCCGGCUAACUUCGUGCCAGCAGCCGCGGUAAUACGAAGGGGGCUAGCGUUGCUCGGAAUUACUGGGCGUAAAGGGCGCGUAGGCGGACAGUUUAGUCAGAGGUGAAAGCCCAGGGCUCAACCUUGGAAUUGCCUUUGAUACUGGCUGUCUUGAGUUUGGGAGAGGUGAGUGGAACUCCGAGUGUAGAGGUGAAAUUCGUAGAUAUUCGGAGGAACACCAGUGGCGAAGGCGACUUACUGGUCCAUUACUGACGCUGAGGUGCGAAAGCGUGGGGAGCAAACAGGAUUAGAAACCCGUGUAGUCC